Non-coding RNA from Misgurnus anguillicaudatus (oriental weatherfish), 5061 nucleotides. The record is from RefSeq and is a predicted model, not a curated record. NCBI's taxonomy places the organism in Eukaryota, Metazoa, Chordata, Actinopteri, Cypriniformes, Cobitidae.
AUACUGCAUGGGGGCAACGUGAGUGCUCGGGAAAGCAACUCUCUACGAUUCACAGUGGACUUCCCACUGAGAAACAUUUGGGUUUCAAAGACACACCUUUAGGGUGUCAUACAUUUGUAUUCUUAUUGUCUCAAAGCAAACUGUAUAUGAAAUGCUACAUGCACAAAGAAUCUAAAAUCUGUAUCUUAUUUGUUUUUCAUUGAAAUAUCUCAUUGCAAGUGGUUACAAUGGUCUCACCCAUAUAACAACAGAAUACAAUGUUAAAGUAUAUGUGAAACUUCAUUCAAUGUUAAUAGACACCUCCCAUUCCAAGCAUAAACCAAUCACCCACUGUAUACAGAUUAAGGACAGCCCUUAGUUUUACAACAACCAAUCAGUACCAAAUUCCUAUAUGCUUUGUUCUCUGGUUAUUUAAGGAGAUGUGUACAAGAUUUAGGCGGGACUUUCAAUAUCUAGAAAUGCACCCCAUGAUGCUGUAUCUUUGAUAUAGCAUCAUGUAUUUUUAUUUUAUUUUGAGGAAUCUGUAACCAGAUCUUCAUCUCCUUACCAGGUAUGCAACGGGUUUUCGUUUGUUUCGUAUUUGAAUUGGAAUGUAAAUUGGCUUCUGAAUUAUGUUUUACCUACCUGGUUAAUAAAUUGUUAUGUUUGGAUUUAUUCUGCGGCUACGAAAGUUAUUGACAUGAUUAGUAAAUUACGAUGUAUCCUUGUUUCCGCAACGUCUGGAAAUCAGGCUAGUUUUUUACGGACUAAAAUCCCAGACUAGAUGGCAUAGUAGUACAUCAGCGGAGGAUUUUAGAGAUCCGACUAGCACUUGGCGCUAGUUUAAGUUAAAUUAGAUGCGUGGAGGCUAAUUUCCUGUUUAGAGUAACAUGUAAAUGUUGUCUGACCACUCUAAAUCAGACGAGCCUCAACCUCUGGUUAUUUCAAUAUUAAUCUAUCUAAGUUGCAUAUUAAGUUAUGUCACGAUUAUACAAAGCUAUCAUUGGAGAAGACGGUCAGUUUGUUUUAUGAUAGUGGUCGUGAGCCUCUGGUUAGAAACAAAUAUUGUAAUAAUUAAGUUGCACCUCUAUGGGGACUAAAUAAAGUAUGUUCAGAGAUGAGCACGCAUGAAAGGCGGCCUUCUGAACAUAUGGUCAAACCUCUAGCAGCGACCAAGCCUGAUUCGGUUGUGAUCGUGGGCCCGCAUGAUUAUUAAAUAUUAAUAAACGGCCGGUGCGUGAGUCCAAAGCGACAUGAGUAGCCGAAUGAACGGAUGCAAUAACAAGUAGGGCUAAACAAGAAUAACCAAACAUCCACCCAAAUUCUGUAACUAUUAAAAGUAAUCAUCAAUCCAAUUAAUAUUAACAUUAUCUUGGAGUCAGAUAAUAAUACAAAAUUGCAUAAAUGCCAAAACGUCACUUGCAAGCGCCGGAAAAGACUGAACGCGCUAUUACCCUUCGUUUGGAUUCCGUCGUUGGGCCAAACGGAUGGAUGGGGCCACACUUUGCCCCUUACAAAGUGGUGAUCCUGACGUGAUAUUCAACCAGUGAGAAACCUCAUCAAAAUGCGAUUGAUGCGAUCCCUGGAGAAUAAGAGUCUUUUCAUGGAGCUAAAGGUUUGAACUUCUUCUAUUUCUUCAGCUGAUGUGGUUGAAAGCUGUAAAUCCUGGCCAGAGAUGUCUGGCCACAUCAGACAAGACAGCAAACCCUGCAGAAAAGCAAUCUAGAAAACGGAGGAUGGGUGUGAAGACAUUCAAAGGCCAUUUUACACCUCACAACACUAUACCAUCAUGAAUAGACAUGGCCUCAAAAUUUGCAACACUAAUUGUUAGAGAUAAAAUCCACCCAUCUUCCAGACAAAAACUGACUGUACAGCACACACAUUGACUAAAACAAUCUCGUAACACAUCUGGUAUAGACGUAAAGACUAUCCAGACAUAAACACUACACACCACACAACAUAUUCCAAACUUAACACUACAUUUAAAACCAACAUUCUCCUGUUACACAAACAGGGACAUCUAAUCCAACACAAAUUCUAAGUGAUAUCAUUCACACCCAUAUUAGCAAAACUACAACAUUCAUAAGAAACUUACUUGGCAAAGUCACACUUUGAUGAUUAUGUUUCUAAUUGCAAUAACAAACUUACUGUCUAAAUCUCAAAUCAAUAAUCUGACUGUUGUUGUCAUAAGUGAGGACCAGUUGGCGCCCUGAUCCUCAAUUUAUCACUAAAUAACAGCACAAACAAUUUUCAAGAAUCAAUCAAACCAUUUACAUCUCAACUCCCAAUAUCAAAUGUGACUUAGCCAACAUAUCACAUACACACCUAUAUAAGUAUUCACAUAUCUCUACACUCGUACACCUACUUAUACAUGCAAACACAUUGAAAUCUGAGAUUCUAAAUCUUCAAGUCUAUGGACUACACAUACUCAUAAACACGCCUAUACACACAAGCACAUACAUAUACACAUACAUAUAUACAUAGGCACAUACCUGCACACAUAGAAAUCUAACAUGAGAUUCUGAAUCUUCAAUUGUGCUCAUGGACUCAACAUGUCCUGAACAUAUUCUUAAAAUAAUCUUAGGCCUACAAGGUGCUUAUACUAAGAGAAUUCAGAAUUCCCUCGAAACAUUCAUUAUGGAUGUGUGUAUGGAACGAUUACACAAUUAUGCGCCUAUUAUUAUUAUUAUUAUUAUUAUUAUUAUUAUUAUUAUUAUAUGGGCUACCAUGCCCAUACCUAAAUCUAUUAUAGCAAUAUUUUACUAUCACGUUAAUUGAUACACCCUAUAGUAUGCAUAACCAAAAUUUUAUUUCAACACCUUCUGGUUUUUUAUUUUAUUUUUUAUUUUUACAUGACCCAAUAUGCAUACCUGUAUGUUAUUUUAACACCUUCUGGUUUUUAUUUUUCCACAUGACCCCAAUAUAUGCAUACCUGAAGAAGGUUAUUUUUACAUUUUCUGGGUUUUAUUUUAUACAAUCUAUAAUAUGCAUACCUGAAGAUCAUUUUAACAAUUUCUGGGUUUUAUCUUCAUACAAUCUGUAACAUGCAUACCUCAAGGUUAUUUUAACAUUUCAUUUUCUGGGUUUUAUUUGUGUAAUAUGCAUACCUCAAUGUUAUGCCUUGUUUUAACCUGAUCUUUUGCAUCUUCUUCUUCAAUAUCCAGAGACCAAGUACAUUUAAAUUCAACUAAACUCCAAAUACAACAGUGGGAAAGAACAUUGGUAAUUUUAUAGAUCAAAUAUCUUUGACCUGGUGAGACCGUACCACUUGCACUUUUAACAUCAAGGUAUCAUGUGUUAUGUUUUUAUUUAUUUUAUUUAUGGUUUGCCCUAUGAAUCUCUUGAUAAUGUUGCUGAGUCUAUCAGUAUUGAUCAAUGUUCAAUCAAUGAAUGGUCCUUAAGAAUGUGCAGGUGUUUCACACAGUGAUGUAUUGUCAAUGACAUGAUCCCCACCUGACGAUGUCUGAAAUCAGAGAUGAUCACCGUUCAGAGGUGACAACUUUCUUCAAAUGGAUAGAACGUCUAAGAACAGGUGGUUUUUCGCAAAAGAAUGGGACAUUCAUUGAACAAAGCACACGGGUCUUGGUUGACACACUGAACUUGAAAACUACGAACACUACAGAGAUUGGACACCACCAAGAGCUAACAUCUUACUGUAUGUUGAUCCCAUCGGGACUGUUAUGUUCUCCGAUAUGAUCAAGCGGCGGAGCUGUAAGACAAUUUCCUGAAUAAAUAUAGCACCUCCCCAAAGGAUACUGCAUGGGGGCAACGUGAGUGCUCGGGAAAGCAACUCUCUACGAUUCACAGUGGACUUCCCACUGAGAAACAUUUGGGUUUCAAAGACACACCUUUAGGGUGUCAUACAUUUGUAUUCUUAUUGUCUCAAAGCAAACUGUAUAUGAAAUGCUACAUGCACAAAGAAUCUAAAAUCUGUAUCUUAUUUGUUUUUCAUUGAAAUAUCUCAUUGCAAGUGGUUACAAUGGUCUCACCCAUAUAACAACAGAAUACAAUGUUAAAGUAUAUGUGAAACUUCAUUCAAUGUUAAUAGACACCUCCCAUUCCAAGCAUAAACCAAUCACCCACUGUAUACAGAUUAAGGACAGCCCUUAGUUUUACAACAACCAAUCAGUACCAAAUUCCUAUAUGCUUUGUUCUCUGGUUAUUUAAGGAGAUGUGUACAAGAUUUAGGCGGGACUUUCAAUAUCUAGAAAUGCACCCCAUGAUGCUGUAUCUUUGAUAUAGCAUCAUGUAUUUUUAUUUUAUUUUGAGGAAUCUGUAACCAGAUCUUCAUCUCCUUACCAGGUAUGCAACGGUUUUUCGUUUGUUUCGUAUUUGAAUUGGAAUGUAAAUUGGCUUCUGAAUUAUGUUUUACCUACCUGGUUAAUAAAUUGUUAUGUUUGGAUUUAUUCUGCGGCUACGAAAGUUAUUGACAUGAUUAGUAAAUUACGAUGUAUCCUUGUUUCCGCAACGUCUGGAAAUCAGGCUAGUUUUUUACGGACUAAAAUCCCAGACUAGAUGGCAUAGUAGUACAUCAGCGGAGGAUUUUAGAGAUCCGACUAGCACUUGGCGCUAGUUUAAGUUAAAUUAGAUGCGUGGAGGCUAAUUUCCUGUUUAGAGUAACAUGUAAAUGUUGUCUGACCACUCUAAAUCAGACGAGCCUCAACCUCUGGUUAUUUCAAUAUUAAUCUAUCUAAGUUGCAUAUUAAGUUAUGUCACGAUUAUACAAAGCUAUCAUUGGAGAAGACGGUCAGUUUGUUUUAUGAUAGUGGUCGUGAGCCUCUGGUUAGAAACAAAUAUUGUAAUAAUUAAGUUGCACCUCUAUGGGGACUAAAUAAAGUAUGUUCAGAGAUGAGCACGCAUGAAAGGCGGCCUUCUGAACAUAUGGUCUAACCUCUAGCAGCGACCAAGCCUGAUUCGGUUGUGAUCGUGGGCCCGCAUGAUUAUUAAAUAUUAAUAAACGGCCGGUGCGUGAGUCCAAAGCGACAUGAGUAGCCGAAUGAACGGAUGCAAUAACAAGUAGGGCUAAACAAGAAUAACCAAACAUCCACCCAAAUUCUGUAACUGUUAAAAGUAAUCAUCAAU